UUUUAUACCUGUAACUGAUGGAAUAGUUAUAUUUAUUUGUGUUUCAAACGGAAUUAAAAUUUUCCGCUUGCGAUUCUCUUAUCGGUUUGUAAAGGGAAGUAAUUUGCCUUAACUUCCUGGGUGUUUAAUAUUCUUUUGGUACUAAAUUAUUCAUUCAGCUUCAUUUGAGUUUGACAAAUGGGGUGUAAUAUAAGGUUAAGCU
This 202-nucleotide unclassified non-coding RNA is filed under the name Hevea brasiliensis (rubber tree). The record is from RNAcentral. Lineage: Eukaryota; Viridiplantae; Streptophyta; Magnoliopsida; Malpighiales; Euphorbiaceae.